CCCUUAGAUGUUCUGGGCCGCACGCGCGCUACACUGACGAAUGCAACGAGCUUAUAACCUUGGCCGAAAGGUCUGGGUAAUCUCCAAAUUUCGUCGUGAUGGGGAUGGAUUAUUGCAAUUAUUAAUCUUCAACGAGGAAUGCCUAGUAAGCGCAAGUCAUCAGCUUGCGUUGAUUACGUCCCUGCCCUUUGUACACACCGCCCGUCGCUCCUACCGAUUGAAUGGUCCGGUGAAGCGUUCGGACCGUGGCCUUUGGACGGUUCGCCGUCUGUUGGCUGCGGGAAGUUCGUUAAACCUUAUCAUUUAGAGGAAGGAGAAGUCGUANCA
Molecule: ribosomal RNA, 327 nt
Filed under: uncultured eukaryote
Lineage: Eukaryota
Description: partial 18S ribosomal RNA
Rfam family: Eukaryotic small subunit ribosomal RNA
Source: RNAcentral